Molecule: long non-coding RNA, 583 nt
Filed under: Pongo abelii (Sumatran orangutan)
Lineage: Eukaryota; Metazoa; Chordata; Mammalia; Primates; Hominidae
Description: lincRNA
Rfam family: X-chromosome inactivation gene exon 4 (bases 33-158)
Source: RNAcentral
CCACUCUUCAAUCCACAUGAAGAAAAGGAUCUUCCUCAGAAGAAUAGGCUUGUUGCUUUACAGUGUUAGUGAUCCAUUCCCUUUGACGAUCCCUAGGUGGAGAUGGGGCAUGAGGAUCCUCCAGGGGAAAAGCUCACUACCACUGGGCAACAACCCUAGGUCAGGAGGUUCUGUCAAGAUACUUUCCUGGUCCCAGAUAGGAAGAUAAAGUCUCAAAAACAACCACCACAAGUCAAGCUCUUCAUUGUUCCUAUCUGCCAAAUCAUUAUACUUCCUACAAGCGGUGCGGAGAGCUGAGUCUUCAGCAGGUCCAAGAAAUUUGAACACACUGAAGGAAGUCAGCCUUCCCACCUGAAGAUCAACGUGCCUGGCACUCUAGCACUUUAGGAUAGCUGAAUGAAUGUGUCUUACCCAUUUCCAUGUUUCUCUUGCUAAUUUCUUUCAUGUGUGCCUUUGCCUCAUUUUCUCUUUUUGUUCACAAGAGUGGUCUGUGUCUUGUCUUAGACAUAUCUCUCAUUUUUCAUUUUGUUGCUGUUUCUGUUUGCUCUCCUAGAUGUGGCUCUUCUUUCACGCUUUAUUUCAU